This 72-nucleotide transfer RNA is filed under the name Camelus ferus (Wild Bactrian camel). It matches the Rfam family "tRNA". Rfam says of the family: Transfer RNA (tRNA) molecules are approximately 80 nucleotides in length. Their secondary structure includes four short double-helical elements and three loops (D, anti-codon, and T loops). Lineage: Eukaryota; Metazoa; Chordata; Mammalia; Artiodactyla; Camelidae. The record is from Rfam by way of RNAcentral.
GAGGGCAUAGCCCAAAGGCAGAGUGUGUGCCUAGCAUGCACGAGGUCCUGGGCUCAAUCCCCAGUACCUCCA